CAUUACCGAGUUUACAACUCCCAAACCCCUGUGAACAUACCUUAAUGUUGCCUCGGCGGAUCAGCCCGCGCCCCGUAAAACGGGACGGCCCGCCAGAGGACCCAAACUCUAAUGUUUCUUAUUGUAACUUCUGAGUAAAACAAACAAAUAAAUCAAAACUUUCAACAACGGAUCUCUUGGUUCUGGCAUCGAUGAAGAACGCAGCAAAAUGCGAUAAGUAAUGUGAAUUGCAGAAUUCAGUGAAUCAUCGAAUCUUUGAACGCACAUUGCGCCCGCUGGUAUUCCGGCGGGCAUGCCUGUUCGAGCGUCAUUUCAACCCUCAAGCCCCCGGGUUUGGUGUUGGGGAUCGGCUCUGCCCUUCUGGGCGGCGCCGCCCCCGAAAUACAUUGGCGGUCUCGCUGCAGCCUCCAUUGCGUAGUAGCUAACACCUCGCAACUGGAACGCGGCGCGGCCAUGCCGUAAAACCCCAACUUCUGAAUGUUGACCUCGGAUCAGGUAGGAAUACCCGCUGAACUUAAGCAUAUCAA
This 527-nucleotide ribosomal RNA is filed under the name Fusarium torulosum. RNAcentral describes it as "eukaryotic LSU rRNA". The stretch from base 157 to 310 matches the Rfam family "5.8S ribosomal RNA". Lineage: Eukaryota; Fungi; Ascomycota; Sordariomycetes; Hypocreales; Nectriaceae. The record is from RNAcentral.